Molecule: small nuclear RNA, 18 nt
Filed under: Arabidopsis thaliana (thale cress)
Lineage: Eukaryota; Viridiplantae; Streptophyta; Magnoliopsida; Brassicales; Brassicaceae
Description: snRNA_15175
Source: RNAcentral
CACGGUAUGACAAUGCGG